AUAGAUCGAUCUAUGGGAUUUGUAACUGUUUCAGAAUCAUCUAUAAACUCUGAACACUUUUUUUGUGCUUCAACACACUGAACUCCUCUUGCAUCUUUACUCACACUCAUGUUUUGUUCAGUGAAAUCAUGUCUUCGUUUAGCACUUCUUGCUAGACGGUAUAAACUAUCUCUGAUGCACAGUCGUGUUCUGAUAUCCAACUGCUCAAUGACAUCCUGAAGCUGUUGAAAACUGGUUGCUUCUACUGAAAGAUCAUCAGGAACAGAUGCAAUGAAGGAGCCUGAUUGUGCCACCGA
RNAcentral lists this unclassified non-coding RNA (296 nucleotides) under Hevea brasiliensis (rubber tree). The record is from RNAcentral. Lineage: Eukaryota; Viridiplantae; Streptophyta; Magnoliopsida; Malpighiales; Euphorbiaceae.